AUUGCUUUCGGAGAUAUUCGAUAAAAUUGGAACGAUACGAUUAGCAAGGCCCUGACUGCACAACGAUGACACGCACAAAUUGAGAAAUAGCCCAAAUUUUU
This 101-nucleotide small nuclear RNA is filed under the name Amborella trichopoda. Lineage: Eukaryota; Viridiplantae; Streptophyta; Magnoliopsida; Amborellales; Amborellaceae. The record is from RNAcentral.